CACGCCGUAAACGAUGAGUGCUAGGUGUUGGGGGCGUCAGGCCCUCUGUGCCGAAGGUAACCCAAUAAGCACUCCGCCUGGGGAGUACGGCCGCAAGGCUGAAACUCAAAGGAAUUGACGGGGGCCCGCACAAGCGGUGGAGCAUGUGGUUUAAUUCGAAGCAACGCGAAGAACCUUACCAGGGCUUGACAUCCCGCUGACCGGUGCAGAGAUGCGCCUUUCCCUUCGGGGACAGCGGUGACAGGUGG
Molecule: ribosomal RNA, 248 nt
Filed under: uncultured Planifilum sp.
Lineage: Bacteria; Bacillati; Bacillota; Bacilli; Caryophanales; Thermoactinomycetaceae
Description: partial 16S ribosomal RNA
Rfam family: Bacterial small subunit ribosomal RNA
Source: RNAcentral